AAGAAAAACCAGAUCUUUAUUUAGGGUGAAAGCUAAAUAUUAGGAUCUAAAGUCCGAUCCCAAUGUAGUUUUUUUUUUGUCACGAUGAUAAUAUAUUUUAGGGAAAUGAAAACCCAAUCAACAGGAAGCAUCAUGGAAGAAUCAAUUGGAAGUGAUUAGUCACGCAUAAUGAUAAUUUUUUUUUGACGGGAGAUAAAGUCUGAAUUCUGGACCUCCCACCCCUAUCAUGACCAACGGUCCAAAUCGGUGUUCCGAUCCCAACACAGUUGAGAGGUGCUAACUGCAAAUAACCCAUUUUUGUCUGCUAAAUUCACCUGGAGAGGUAGUUCCGGCACAUCAUCAAGUCCUAUCCGUGGAAUGAUAUGCUAAAUUCACCCAUAGCCAUAUGAUAGGGGUAGUUGCGGCACAUCCCGAAGUCCCAUUGCUUGGCACCUGCAACCUACUCCUGGAUUCAGUCCACGGUCGUGAUGCCACGGCGGUUGGACCCAUCUUGGAAAACCUGGUUACAGGUAUGUGUUUGGAGAGAGAGAGCUUGUGGACAAGUUUUCUUUUCUUUUUGUUUCUUUUUUGGGUUUAUUCUUAUUGUGGCAUUAUUAAAACCUCCACAAAAAAUUACAAUUGAAAUAUUUUACACCAACUCAAGUUUUUUCUUUCCAUCUCGACCUUUUAAAGAGUUAUAGAAAACAAAUCUAUAGUAAAAUUGAAUUAUGUGACCGAACAAAUCAAUUCACUUUUAAAUUUUUACUAGGUGCGAUGUAGAACAUAGAGCCGAAUGUUUAUAGUUGUCAUUUUGCCAAUAUAUUUGAAUAAUCCAAAUUAUGUUGACUAUAUUAAAUGUCUCACAGUCCGGUAAGAAACUAUUGGUUUGUUUGGAUUGUGAAUUAUUAGAGAUAUUUUUACUGUAGCAUUUUUUGUGAUGUGAUGUAUGUGAGAUAAAAAGGUAAUUGAGAAGAUAAAAAGGUGUGUUGGAAAUUGUAAUGAUGAUGUAAGCAAAUAUAUUUUGAUAAAUAAACUCUUAUCCAAACAAACCCUAUGAAUCGAGUAAUCCUAUAAGAUAAACUGUUAUGAGUUAUAUUUUAUUUUCAAUGCCCGAAACCACACUACUAAUAUAUAUAUAUUUUUUACUGUAAGGUAUUCUGAUUUGGCCAGAAUCACCUGAAUGGACCAGACUACUCCUUCCAAGCUGUGAGAGUCCUGCC
This 1199-nucleotide long non-coding RNA is filed under the name Coffea arabica (coffee). RNAcentral's name for it is "long non-coding RNA (CARA_LNC006081)". The record is from RNAcentral. Lineage: Eukaryota; Viridiplantae; Streptophyta; Magnoliopsida; Gentianales; Rubiaceae.